AUAGCCUCUCAGCCUUUCAGCUAAGAUCAAGUGUAAUAUUUGUUUUUAGCAGUUUAGUAUCUGAUAUAUCCUCUAUCCAAGAACAAUAUAUUAAAUGGAUUUUUGGAGCAGGGAGAUGGAACAGGAGCUUGCUCCAUCCACUCCACGCAUUGACCUGGUGCUGUAGUACCUCUGGGAAUGGUACAGCCUCU
RNAcentral lists this small nuclear RNA (191 nucleotides) under Suricata suricatta (meerkat). Its description in RNAcentral is "U2 spliceosomal RNA (ENSSSUG00005010170.1)". It matches the Rfam family "U2 spliceosomal RNA". Rfam says of the family: U2 is a small nuclear RNA (snRNA) component of the spliceosome (involved in pre-mRNA splicing). Complementary binding between U2 snRNA (in an area lying towards the 5' end but 3' to hairpin I) and the branchpoint sequence (BPS) of the intron results the bulging out of an unpaired adenosine, on the BPS, which initiates a nucleophilic attack at the intronic 5' splice site, thus starting the first of two transesterification reactions that mediate splicing. The record is from Rfam by way of RNAcentral. Lineage: Eukaryota; Metazoa; Chordata; Mammalia; Carnivora; Herpestidae.